GUCUUUGGCCAUACCACACUGAAUGCACCCAGUGUGGAAGCUAGGCAGGGUUGGGCCUGGUUAGUACCUGGAUGGGAGACCUCCUAUGAAUACCAGGUACUAAUCUGU
Mesocricetus auratus (golden hamster) is the source of this 108-nucleotide non-coding RNA. The record is from Rfam. NCBI's taxonomy places the organism in Eukaryota, Metazoa, Chordata, Mammalia, Rodentia, Cricetidae.